Molecule: ribosomal RNA, 107 nt
Filed under: Monopterus albus (swamp eel)
Lineage: Eukaryota; Metazoa; Chordata; Actinopteri; Synbranchiformes; Synbranchidae
Source: RNAcentral
GGCCACAGUCACUGCCCUGGAUGUAUCUGACUUCCAAGGUUAAGCAGGGCUUGGCCUGGACAAUACUUGGAUAGAUGACCACCUGAGUACAGCAGGUCCUGUGGCUU